Molecule: ribosomal RNA, 405 nt
Filed under: uncultured bacterium
Lineage: Bacteria
Description: bacterial SSU rRNA
Rfam family: Bacterial small subunit ribosomal RNA
Source: RNAcentral
UAUUGCACAAUGGGCGCAAGCCUGAUGCAGCCAUGCCGCGUGUGUGAAGAAGGCCUUCGGGUUGUAAAGCACUUUCAGUCAGGAGGAAAGGUUAGUAGUUAAUACCUGCUAGCUGUGACGUUACUGACAGAAGAAGCACCGGCUAACUCCGUGCCAGCAGCCGCGGUAAUACGGAGGGUGCGAGCGUUAAUCGGAAUUACUGGGCGUAAAGCGUACGCAGGCGGUUUGUUAAGCGAGAUGUGAAAGCCCCGGGCUCAACCUGGGAACUGCAUUUCGAACUGGCAAACUAGAGUGUGAUAGAGGGUGGUAGAAUUUCAGGUGUAGCGGUGAAAUGCGUAGAGAUUUGAAGGAAUACCGAUGGCGAAGGCAGCCACCUGGGUCAGACACUGACGCUCAUGUACGAAG